UGCAACCUGUGAUGCAAAACAACCCAUUUUACUGAAUUACACUUAUACAAAAAAUCGCCAUCUUUCGGCCGAGGUUGCA
This 79-nucleotide small nucleolar RNA is filed under the name Oryza meridionalis. The record is from RNAcentral. Lineage: Eukaryota; Viridiplantae; Streptophyta; Magnoliopsida; Poales; Poaceae.